RNAcentral lists this ribosomal RNA (253 nucleotides) under uncultured bacterium. Its description in RNAcentral is "partial 16S ribosomal RNA". It matches the Rfam family "Bacterial small subunit ribosomal RNA", at positions 524 to 776 of the family's 1533-position model. The record is from RNAcentral.
UACAGAGGUCCCGAGCGUUGUUCGGAUUCAUUGGGCGUAAAGGGUGCGUAGGUGGUUGUGCAAGUCUGAUGUGAAAUCUCCGGGCUCAACCCGGAAAUGGCAUUGGAAACUGCAUGGCUAGAGGGUUGGAGGGGGGACUGGAAUACUUGGUGUAGCAGUGAAAUGCGUAGAUAUCAAGUGGAACACCAGUGGCGAAGGCGAGUCCCUGGACAACACCUGACACUGAGGCACGAAAGCUAGGGGAGCAAACAGG